Molecule: long non-coding RNA, 2064 nt
Organism: Anser cygnoides (Swan goose)
Lineage: Eukaryota; Metazoa; Chordata; Aves; Anseriformes; Anatidae
Source: Ensembl
UGCCGCCGUUUAGGUGCAUACAUCUCAUUCUAGGGGCAACACCUUCCUGGCUUUACUACCAGGUAGCCAACACCACCCCUUGCCGUUCAGGCCUGGCCAUCUGAUUACAGGAUGAUUCCCAUGUUGUUUCUGGUGUGCAUUAAUACCAGAAUAUUGGAUACGUUAAUGAAUAUUAACAUUCCCAUAAUUACCAUAUUCGGUACAACAUAGAUAAUUCCCUUCCUCACAGGUAACAUUUCCACAUCCAGGGUCGGUAUUAUUGCCCCCUGAAUUUCCAGCAGUAUGAAGAACGAUAUACAUACUAAUAUAAAAACCAAAAUACCCUGGGAACACUCUAUGUAACCCAUCUCUUUUUCCCAAUUACACAUGGUAUUCAUUAUUUUUUCCCAAGGAGAAGUUAAAGGUUAGUUUACAACUAUGAUUCACACCUAAUUUUUAAAUUCAAAGGUUCUCCUCUAGGAACAGUCUCUCAGGUCUCAGGGUCAACUGAUGUCUUCGCCCGGGUGUAAUGAGUGUACUGAGUCCACCAUUUCUCAGCUGUUCUUACUGCCCUCUCAGUAGUCAGGAGUACCUGGAACGGUCCGUCCCACUCAGGUUGCAGUUUCAAUUCCUUCCAUUCUCGUAUCAAAACCCAAUCUCCUGCUCGGAAUGGAUGGAUCGGGGCUUCAAGGUUGGGGUUUGAGAUAACGAUCCACGGGUCCUGGGCGAUGACAAAGAAGACAACAUCCCAAAUAUGUAGUUUUUAAGAAAAGGACCUUUUGUCUCGAAUUGAGGUUAUUCAUUCCCUUUGCCCAGGUCCGGCAAUCCAAAUAAGGUUUCAUAUGGUGAAACUCCCACAUCUUUCCUUGGCGCCGUUUGAAUUUGGAGAAGUGCCAAAGGUCAGCACUUCGUUCCGGGGAGCCAAGUUUCCAGGACGCAGUCAAUUGCUUCUUUACUGUCUGAUCCGCUUCUUUACUGUCUGAUCUGCUUUCCUGUCUGAUCCCAAUGAGUGACCCUGCCUCAGUCACCAUCCUUAUUUUGGGACAGCGGGGCCUUCCCCUUAUCUGCUUACCGUACUCCCCACAGCUAUGCUACUGUCAUGCCUGCACAAUCACUUUUGAAUAUGCAAGGUUAGUGGAAUUUCCCACUGCAAAAACACAUUCUAUCACAAAAACACUACUUUGUUUCUCACCGGUCUACCAAAAGGCUUCCGUUGUGACCAUUGUUGGGAGAAUUUGGCGACGUAGGUGUUGGGUUAGAGUCAUAAUUAGUAUUCGGGUUACGGUUAGGGUUAGGGUUUGGAGAGAGAGAGUGCGCAGAGUCCUGUUGUGUGUGGGGUUGUGUAAGGGCUGCCCAAGGAAGUUCAGGUCUACCAAAAGGCUUCCGCUGUGAGCACUAUUUCAUGGGAGAAUUUGGUGACAUAGUUGUUGGCUUUGGGUCAUAAUAAGGGUUAGGGUUAGGGUUAGGGUUAGGGUUCAGGUUCGGGUUCGGGUUAGGUGAGAGAGAAAGCGCAGAGUCCUGUUGUGUGGGGGGUUGUGUAAAGGCAUCCAAAUGAAGUUCAGGUCUACCAAAAGGCUUCCCUUGUUAGCACUAGUUCAUGGGAGAAUUUGGUGACGUAGGUGUUGAGUUAGGGUCAUAAUUAGGGUUAGGGGAGCAGCCAACCUACUGCUCCACCUCUGCCUCCUCCGUGGGACUACAGACUUCCUGCCACUAAUGGCAGCGGUGGGCUCAGCGGCAGCAGUGGCAGAAAAUAUCACCUCUGACAGUGGCAGCCUGAAAGACAGUCUGCUUAUCACUGGGACAAGAUGCCAGCUAGUUAGGCAUUAUCGUAUUUAAGCCUCUUAUUCUACUAGCCUAUUUUUUUUUUUACUAUUAGCUGUCCUGGCUAUUAGCAGUUAACAAUUACUGUGUCACUUCUUACUUCCUCUCACCUUGUCUUUUUGAAAAGUAAAAGCCUGUCUUCUUCCAAAGUUUUUGCGCUGUUGAGACGUGUGGUCUCCGAAGGCUUGGAGAAAGGCUUUCAUAGCAAACCCGACCAACUCAGCGUUCUGCGAAGAAUAAAUAAACCUGUAAUUCAAAAAUUCA